CACUCGAUUUAUUGUGUUUUUAGAAACUUGCCAUCUAACUAAUUUUUUUUUUUCCUUUUACUUACAAAUGUUAGGUUUGGAUUACUAACAUUAUGAUAAUUUUUUGCAGCAAAUUUAUAAAUAAUGAUAAUAUGUAAUAUUUUGAUGAUGUGUCAUAUGUUUAUAUCUUUAUUACUUUAUAUAUAGCAAUAAUAAUAUAAAUGAGCUGAUAAAAAUUAAAAUCAUGAAAAAUCAUAAUUAGAAUUCUAAAAAUUCAAUAAUCAUGAAUAUAAAAUCAAAGACUUCAAACAAUUCACCCUCCCAGAUAAGAUAAAGUAUAAUUGAGUUGUAUGAUGCAUCAUUUUUCGCUAUUAAAGUUUCAAUCGACUAGCUUAGUCUAAGAGCUCUCUUAUAUUUAUCUUCUAAAUUUUAAUAACUUUUUCUUAUUAUAAUUUUCAAGAUAAAUAAAUAGAGAGGAAAACUUAAUUUUCGAUGAUUGUCCUUUAUAAUGCAUCAUUUUAUUAUUAUUACUCUCUCUGUCCAUCUCAUUAGUUUACAUUUUUCUCUCCUGCUUAGCACGUAUUUUAAGACUCUUACAAAAUAUAGUUUCAUAACUUAUUUUUGUGAAUUUUUUUUUGUGUGUAAAAAUUCAAUCGCUGAAUUUUUAUUCGGAAGGAAAAAGUAAAAUUAUUUAUGAAACUACAUCUUUUAAAAGCCAUAAUGUGACAGCCCGAGAAUCCGGGGGCCUGGAUUCUGACGUCACCACACAAAACCUUUUAAAAACACCCUUGAAUUAUUUUUUUUUUUUUUUUUUUGAAAUGAUAAUAAAAGUCAAAGGAUUUAAAAACUUGAAAUUCAAACUUGAAAGCCAUAAUAAAAGAUUUGAAAGAGAACAUUUGAACCCCCUAAAACAACAGGAUCGCUUCCAGGUUACAGUAUUGAAAUUAGAAUCAACCACUAUUAUUACACCACAUCUCUUACCAAAUCAUAUCAUCUUCGAUAAGAAGAAUCACUGUCAACUAUUCCAGCUAUGACUUACAUCUGAAUCUCAAUAGCUCAACUCUAGCUAGCACCAACCUUAUCAAUCUUCCUGCACACUUCUUGAUCACUGGAUCCUUAACACCUCUGACUCCUCGCCUAGCCUUAGCUUUACUCGCAAUCAUAGACACAUCUCUUACCAAAUCAUAUCAUCUUCGAUAAGAAGAAUCACUGUCAACUAUUCCAGCUAUGACUUACAUCUGAAUCUCAAUAGCUCAACUCUAGCUAGCACCAACCUUAUCAAUCUUCCUGCACACUUCUUGAUCACUGGAUCCUUAACACCUCUGACUCCUCGCCUAGCCUUAGCUUUACUCGCAAUCAUAGACUAGCCAUUCAUCUUUAAUCCUUUCUGAAAUGAUUAAGAAAGGAAUAGCAAGAGUGAGCAACAAUGCUCAGCAAGUAAUAAUAAACAAUGAAAGUUCUGAAGUGAUAUAACAGAAAUUCUCGAGUUCAAGAUAUAAAAAGAUUCAACCUGAGUUCACAAAUUCAGGUAUUGUAUAAAAGAAUCACAAUACCUUGCAGCAAUAGAAACCUGAGGAAUUCAAUCCUUCACAAGAGAAUUAUUGAAUUGGACUAUCACAUUUUAAUUAAAAACCAAGGUUAGGAUGCUGAUCAGUCAUACCUAACCCCGAGCAGGCCCCGCCAUGCUCUGUCACUGGAUCCAAGGCACUCAUUGGCCUAACAUGACCACUCAUCUGGUCUGACCACUCAUUUGGUCCACAUAAUUUUAUAAAAACAAUAAUCCAAUUCUAUAAUUCAGUUCAUGAAACCAAUGUAAAUUAACAGAACAUAAUCAUAAUCAUCAUCAACAACUGAAUAAUUUCAAAUCAAACUUUGAUAAUAAACUUUUCAUAAGUCACAGUCCAUUCUUUCAUAAAUCAUCGUUCAGGAAAUCCCUAACUAUUCAAUAUCCUCCAUUAUCGGCUAAGCAACUGAAUUUAGCCUGCUAAACCAGCAUGACAAUGGCGGGUUGAAUAAUCAAGAAGAUCCCAAUUCAUUCAAAGCUCUAACUAUCACUGAGCAACACAUGCUUCAAUGACAAUCUGAACUUCGAAUUAAUUUGUAAAACGGAGAUUCUUUAGAAACUUGAAGAUUAGAAAGAAUGGGUUAGAAUACUCGCACUUUCGAACAUUGAAAAGAAAGGUAUGAAUACUUGAAACAUAGACCAAAGGAAUGGAUCAGAAUAUUUGCAAUAUAUCCAAGAGAAAGGUUUAGGAUACUUGCCUUAAAUCUGACUCCAGUUUCACAGCUCAUUCUCAUCUUUCAACUUUCACAAUCUACGCAUCUCGUAAUCUCUAGACCAUCUCUAGCUAUACUCUAUUCGCCACAUCGCUUCGCUUACUCGAUACAUCCCUUAUUCGCUUUGCAAUACCAUUCCGACUUUCUGACGUCUUCGAGCGUACACGUCUCCUCCAAAUCCUUUACGAGAAUAAGAUAAUAAUAUAGUCACUAAACAAUAUAUCGCGUAUACAUAUCACGUAUAUCGAUACCCACUUAUAUACCCCUUUAAACUUAUCAGAUAUCACUUAACACAUAAGCAUGUUUUGACUCUAUCAUAUAGUCAAGUCAUAUUCCACAUAACAUAUUAUCAAUUAAAUAUCAUAUAAAUCUUAUCGAAAAUCCGACAUCGUCUCGUCUAUUUAUUAGACCAUCCACCUGUUAUCCUAUCUCAAUCAACAAUCAACCGACAAGAUCCAAUUACUAUAAUCCAUAUAUUCUUAUCCAAUAUCAAUCAACUCACGACACUAUGUCAUCCAAAUCUUUUAUCACACGUGUAUACUAUCAUGAAUAAACAUGUAUAUCACGUAAUCAUCAAUUAAUAGCAAUCAAAUAACAUAUAAUCACAUUGUGCACAUUUAACAACAAUUAUUCACAUUCUCGACUCCAUCAUAUUAUUAUGUCACAUUAAAAUAGACUU
RNAcentral lists this long non-coding RNA (2935 nucleotides) under Daucus carota (carrot). RNAcentral describes it as "long non-coding RNA (DCAR_LNC006543)". The record is from RNAcentral. Lineage: Eukaryota; Viridiplantae; Streptophyta; Magnoliopsida; Apiales; Apiaceae.